Molecule: ribosomal RNA, 198 nt
Filed under: uncultured bacterium
Lineage: Bacteria
Description: partial 16S ribosomal RNA
Rfam family: Bacterial small subunit ribosomal RNA
Source: RNAcentral
ACGCUCGACACCUACGGAAGGCAGCAGUGGGGGAUAUUGCACAAUGGGGGAAACCCUGAUGCAGCAACGCCGCGUGAAGGAUGAAGGUUUUCGGAUUGUAAACUUCUGUUCUUAGUGACGAUAAUGACGGUAGCUAAGAAGAAAGCUCCGGCUAACUACGUGCCGGCAGCCGCGGUAAUCUGAGCGGGCUGGCAAGGC